Molecule: transfer RNA, 78 nt
Filed under: Cyclobacteriaceae bacterium
Lineage: Bacteria; Pseudomonadati; Bacteroidota; Cytophagia; Cytophagales; Cyclobacteriaceae
Description: tRNA-Leu
Rfam family: tRNA
About the family: Transfer RNA (tRNA) molecules are approximately 80 nucleotides in length. Their secondary structure includes four short double-helical elements and three loops (D, anti-codon, and T loops). Further hydrogen bonds mediate the characteristic L-shaped molecular structure. tRNAs have two regions of fundamental functional importance: the anti-codon, which is responsible for specific mRNA codon recognition, and the 3' end, to which the tRNAs corresponding amino acid is attached (by aminoacyl-tRNA synthetases). tRNAs cope with the degeneracy of the genetic code in two manners: having more than one tRNA (with a specific anti-codon) for a particular amino acid; and 'wobble' base-pairing, i.e. permitting non-standard base-pairing at the 3rd anti-codon position.
Source: RNAcentral
GCCGAAGUGGUGAAACUGACACUCACGUUUCAGAGGCGUGUCGCUCAAGUUGUUCGGGUUCAAGUCCCGCCUUCGGCA